UACAUUCUUUUUUUUUUUUCUUUUCUCAAUUUUUACAUGCAAUUUUCAAGAGUCAAAGUCUAUGUUUCAAAAUCUUUUAGAAUUUAUUGAUCAUCACUUUUUUUUUUUAGGAUCUUUUCAAGUUUUACAUGUAAAUUCACAAGUUUAAAGUCCAAAAGCGUAGAUAUCAUGCAUAUGCAUACUCAUGCAUCUACAUCAUAUUGCAUUAAACUUUAGUCAUUUGCUUGCACAAAGAUCGAGCAUCAUGUCAAUAAGAUAGGAAAGUCAAAUGAUUGAAGAGAUAAAGAAAUAUCUAUAGGAUUUCGAUGCAAAAAGGACAUGGAUAAAAGACACCAAGAAUGCUCUAAGACAAAACCAUGCAAGAAAGAGAUUCAAGGACUCCAAGUGAAAGAAGAGCCAUUUGACAACUUUAGCUGCGAAGUUUUUUGCACUAAAUAUUUACAUGUUGACAUUCCCUUGGAGGAUAUUUAAUCAAGUGGAUAGAAACUCUAGAAAAGUUUAGAUCAAAGCUCAUAAAGAGUUUGAAUUUCUAUUUUAUAUUUGUAUGUACUUUUCUUCAGUUCUUAUUUACAAAGUUGAAUCAAUAUGACAAAGCUCCUUAAUUGAUGUGCAAUCAAAUGAGUAAAGAUCCAUAACAUAAGCAUAACAUGUACAUAGCAUACUAACAUUUUGUUUUGCAGUUACUUAGGCAUCCUAAGAAUAAUCCUAUCUUUAUAAGCUGAAAAGUGAUGGAUAUUAGUAAUAUGCCCUAGAGCAUAAUUUGUAAUUUGUAUAUUGUAAAUAUUAAUAAUUCCUAUUUAAUGGCAUAUAUCUUUUCUUUUA
RNAcentral lists this unclassified non-coding RNA (822 nucleotides) under Hevea brasiliensis (rubber tree). The record is from RNAcentral. Lineage: Eukaryota; Viridiplantae; Streptophyta; Magnoliopsida; Malpighiales; Euphorbiaceae.